UACGUAGGGGGCAAGCGUUAUCCGGAUUUACUGGGUGUAAAGGGAGCGUAGACGGCAUAGCAAGUCUGAAGUGAAAGCCCGUGGCUCAACCGCGGAACUGCUUUGGAAACUGUUAAGCUGGAGUACUGGAGGGGCAAGCGGAAUUCCUAGUGUAGCGGUGAAAUGCGUAGAUAUUAGGAGGAACACCAGUGGCGAAGGCGGCUUGCUGGACAGAGACUGACGUUGAGGCUCGAAAGCGUGGGGAGCAAACAGG
Molecule: ribosomal RNA, 253 nt
Filed under: uncultured bacterium
Lineage: Bacteria
Description: partial 16S ribosomal RNA
Rfam family: Bacterial small subunit ribosomal RNA
Source: RNAcentral